GACGAACGCUGGCGGCGUGCUUAACACAUGCAAGUCGAACGGUGAAGCGCCUUCCUUUUUGGUGGGUGUGGAUGAGUGGCGAACGGGUGAGUAACACGUGAGUAACCUGCCCCCUUCUUCUGGAUAACCGCAUGAAAGUGUGGCUAAUACGGGAUAUUCUGGGUCUGUCGCAUGAUGGGUCUGGGAAAGAUAUUGUUUCGGUGGGGGAUGGGCUCGCGGCCUAUCAGCUUGUUGGUGGGGUGAUGGCCUACCAAGGCGGUGACGGGUAGCCGGCCUGAGAGGGUGGACGGUCACACUGGGACUGAGACACGGACCAGACUCAUACGGGAGGCAGCAGUGGGGAAUAUUGCACAAUGGGCGCAAGCCUGAUGCAGCGACGCCGCGUGAGGGAUGGAGGCCUUCGGGUUGUGAACCUCUUUCGCCAGUGAAGCAGGCCUGCCUCGUUUGUGGGUGGGUUGACGGUAGCUGGAUAAGAAGCGCCGGCUAACUACGUG
RNAcentral lists this ribosomal RNA (494 nucleotides) under uncultured bacterium. RNAcentral's name for it is "partial 16S ribosomal RNA". It matches the Rfam family "Bacterial small subunit ribosomal RNA", at positions 28 to 507 of the family's 1533-position model. The record is from RNAcentral.